This is a small nucleolar RNA of Bison bison bison, 72 nucleotides long. Its record names the gene SNORD28. It matches the Rfam family "Small nucleolar RNA SNORD28". From Rfam's summary of the family: U28 is a member of the C/D class of snoRNA which contain the C (UGAUGA) and D (CUGA) box motifs. U28 is encoded within the U22 snoRNA host gene (UHG) in mammals and is thought to act as a 2'-O-ribose methylation guide for ribosomal RNA. The record is from Ensembl. Lineage: Eukaryota; Metazoa; Chordata; Mammalia; Artiodactyla; Bovidae.
GUUGAGCAAUUUGAUUGAUACAUGGAUCAUCUGUGAGGUACCACAAUUAAUAGCAUGUUAGUUUUAAAGGCA